RNAcentral lists this ribosomal RNA (264 nucleotides) under uncultured bacterium. Its description in RNAcentral is "partial 16S ribosomal RNA". It matches the Rfam family "Bacterial small subunit ribosomal RNA", at positions 524 to 777 of the family's 1533-position model. The record is from RNAcentral.
UACGGGGGGGAGCAAGCGUUGUUCGGAUUUUACUGGGGCGUAAAGGGCGCGUAGGCGGUCGUGACAAGUCACUUGUGAAAUCUCCGGGCUUAACUCGGAACGGUCAAGUGAUACUGUCGGACUAGAGUGCAGAAGGGGCAACUGGGAAUUCUCGGUGGUAGCGGUGAAAUGCGUAGAUAUCGAGAGGGAACACCUGCGGCGAAGGGCGGGUUGCUGGGGCUGACACUGACGCUGAGGCGCGAAAGCGUGGGGGAGCAAACGGGG